Molecule: long non-coding RNA, 372 nt
Filed under: Fukomys damarensis (Damara mole-rat)
Lineage: Eukaryota; Metazoa; Chordata; Mammalia; Rodentia; Bathyergidae
Description: lncRNA (ENSFDAG00000024582.1)
Source: RNAcentral
GCAGCCCCUGUCCGCAUGUUCCUCUUUUCCUUUUAUUGUUUUUGAAAACUAAUUAUAAAAAAGUAUUUUAGAUAACUUUUCAUGACUCAUGCAGGAGGGCAUGCUGACCACUUGGCCUGGUUGGUGUGUACUUGGUCGUUUUGACGGUGGAGAAGAGGCAGAAGUUGCGUGCUGCAGUUGCACAGCCAGCGACUAAGGUAAAUGGAGACACACUAUAACGUUUUUGUUUGACAGAAGUUGCUGUAAACAUUGUGCGUAGAUUCGGGAUGUGAAGGCAGUGACUGAUGAAAAUAUACCUGAGAAGGAAGACUUCCACAAGUGCUUUGGAAAGUGGCAAGAAUGGUGGCAUAAGUGUGUUUGGAAUGAGGGGAA